CCGAGUACCGGGUCUCCGGGCCCCUACUCCCACCCUUUGUGUACCUACCUGUUUUCGUUGCCUCGGCGGGGUCGAUCCCUACGGCCUGCACGGCCCGCGGGGGACCCGCCGGGGGGACACACCUAAACUCUUGUCAACGGUGACGUCUGAGAAACAAACAAACUAGUCA
RNAcentral lists this unclassified non-coding RNA (169 nucleotides) under uncultured Ascomycota. RNAcentral describes it as "sequence contains ITS1". The record is from RNAcentral. Lineage: Eukaryota; Fungi; Ascomycota.